RNAcentral lists this long non-coding RNA (904 nucleotides) under Homo sapiens (human). RNAcentral's name for it is "non-protein coding lnc-BDH1-5:11". The record is from RNAcentral. Lineage: Eukaryota; Metazoa; Chordata; Mammalia; Primates; Hominidae.
GCCUUUCCUGGGAGCAGGUUUUGAAAGCAAUGAGGGCCCGGGAUGAUAGAAGGGGAAGCUUCACACAGCAAGAAAAGGGCUCUGAGAUGCCAGGCCAGGGCUGGGGAAGGCAAGCUGGGCACUGAGUGUGUGACCUUUCAGGUGGCAUCACUCUUGAGUGCUGACCCGGCUCUUGCACAAUGCUGCCCAUAAGAAGCCAGGUCGCAAAGGUAAAGUUUAAACUCCCUUUUCCAGGUGCAGUCCUGAGAAAGGGGUUACUUUUUUGUUGUGUUCAUUUUGGUGUAGAAUGGAUUUAGCAGCGUGGAGAUGCCCUUUGAGCACAUUCUGCUUGGCGCUGGUGACUGAGUGGUCCGGAAAGGGUCCUGAAGAAGAAGCUUUUUUUUUUUCUGGGUGGGGGGUGGUGGAUGCAUAUUGAGGUGCAGCAAGCGUGGUGGAGAGAAAGACAGGAAAAGGCCAAGGGCAGUGUGGUCAGGCCCAGCUGGCGCGGGGCAGAGAGUGAACUGCUUGAGGAGGAGCAUCGCCCCACCUCUGAUGAUGUGUUGGCCGGCAGGGAACGCAGAACGCUCUGGCACCUUCAACAGACUUGCCCCUUGGGGAGCUCUGGAGACAGCCACAGCAGCGCCCCUGGAGACCCCCGGCUGAAGGGACAGCAGCGAGAGGCCUCCCCACAAGGAGCCUGACAGCGGCUGGACUGAAGACUGUGAGGGAGCUGAGCCACAGUGCAUCCAAGCUGCUCCAGGAUCUGGAGUAUUACGGACCACGAGAGAUGCAGAAAUGGAGCACAGGCGGUGAGCCAAGGACACCCGAGGUACGAGCUCUUGCCCUUCUCCUUCCCUGCCCUCUGCUGCCUGGAGAUACGGCAGCCCAGCACCAGCCCCCCAGCUGCUUCCAGUGGAAAAAUGCU